Molecule: non-coding RNA, 635 nt
Organism: Arachis ipaensis
Lineage: Eukaryota; Viridiplantae; Streptophyta; Magnoliopsida; Fabales; Fabaceae
Source: RefSeq, a predicted model, not a curated record
CCUUGGUAACACUAACACAUUCUGGAGUGUGUAAUGCACCUCCGCAAGACGCUUGGCACAACGUGUUUUCAUAUACUAUAUACUAUUAAUCGGUGCCUCUCUUCUCUGCUCCACCACCACCAUACCAUAUAUAUAAAGACAUUCGCACAUUAAUUACCUAACCACUUUUGUCUCAUCGCUACAUGGAUUGGUGGCAUAAGAUCAGAAGAACUUGGUGUGCGCUCUCUACAAGAAUCAAGCUUCGCAAAUCUGGGGUUGGGAGACACAGCGGUGGGAUUGAAUACAACGGCGAUGUUGGGUUGCUGAAGCUAAGAGAUGAUGUACAAAUGUGUGGGUACAGAGAUGUAGAGGUUAUGUGGAACAUGUUGAGCAUAACCCUACACCAUGAUCAAGUGGAAGCCACCAACUCAACUACUGCCUGCAAUUGUAGAUCCAUUUCCACUGCUUUAAUUAUUAAUUUCUGAACUUCUGUGUAUGAUAAAGUUUUGCAGUGGAAUAUAUGUGCAUAGUGUAUAAUGUAUUUUUCUUGCAAUACAUGUAUUUCUUAUAGUAAGUAAUAUAUAAGAAUAAGGAUAAGAAAUUAAGAAUGAAACUUUUGUUAAUAAGAGGGAAUUGAAGUUGAGUUUGAUUGCUUC